GGAUCCAUGGCGGUCUCCUCCAGGGUUGGUGGCGGGAAAUCUGGCGCCUCAUCCAUUGAGGGCGGUUGGCCUUCACUCUCCUAUGUGAACGCAGCCACGCACCACGCACGCACGCACCCACAGUGAGAGACAGAGUGUCCGGAGAGGUGGCUGAUGAAGGCUCCUGUUCCCUCUGCUGCCUCGCUUGCUGCAGCCACAGGGAGGAGGAAGGCAGGCUUCAUCUUGAUGGUAAAACAAAUAGCCAAACCUAUGAACUGCACCUCCAUGGCUGCUUCUCUGCGCAACAAGAAGCCUUCACGCUCUCUGACUAUGGCACUAUUUCAUUUCCAAUUUUAUAAUCUUAUUGAUUGACAGAAUAUAUACAAUUCAUUAGUGUUUCAGCCACAAAUAAAUCUGACAGAAGCUGUGAUGUAAAAACAGCUAAUAGAGUCUUAAUUCUCUAAUUCUUCCAUAAAAAUUUCUGAGUGAUCUGGAUGUUCCAAAAAUAAAGUAAUGAGUAACUGUAUGAAAGCAAUCACUGGUGUCUUCAUUCUUGAAGUCUUUGUUAACUACCAUCUCUACAGUUUUCAUCCUUCAAAUUAAGCUAUGAAAUUAAAAACUGAAUUAAUGAACAUAUCUGGAAUUAAUUAACAUUCUCUGGAUCAGCAAUAUUUUUACGGUAAGAAGGAACAGUUUCAAUCUCCAAGACACCACAUGUAAGUUAUAAAAAUAACACAUCUUUUUCUCACUGCAAUACUGAAAAGUCAAUUUUUUUUUCCCUGAAACCUAGAACCACACAAUUUAUACCAUUAGUUCUUAACCUGGUGGAGGGGGAGAGCACAAGCUCUUGGAAAAGCAGGAAUUUUUCUAAUUAUAUUUGUCUUUCUUUUUAAUGAGAGCAUGGUCAAAUAAUGAGUUUGUGAAAAAUACAAAAGUAUCGCUUUUUUCUUUAAAAUCUGGGAGGGAAUUGUACCCAUAGAUGCAAGGGAGGGGGAGCAUGAAGGAAAGGGCAAAUUCCUAGAGAGGACAUGGUAGUAAAAGGUUAAGAACCAUGGUUCAUACCAAUAUUACCCAAGUAAGUUUCUUGAAAAACAAAUAUCCCACCUCUUCUCAGUACUUCUGCAUAAAAAAAUUCUUUGGAAAAAGCAAUGGAGAUAUUUAGUCUAGUUAUACCUAAUAGAUAUGAGUAACCUCUCCACCAACACAUAUUUGCAGUAUAUAAUUAAAAGCAGGAGCAAGAAAUUUUUUCACUCCACCUGCAACAAGAAUUUGUCACCCCAAACUGUGACACAAGAAGAGAUCAUAUGUUGUAAAUCACAGAUCCAAGCAGCAGAUGAAAUGUGUAUCUUUCUUUCACACCUAAGCAACAUGUUCUUUCCACUUAAUUUGUAUGGAAGAAAAAUCAUGCAAUAAGAGAAAAUAGUGUGCCUUCGAUGCAUGGCUUCCUGUGACACACCACCCAGCCAUUGCCUCUGGUAGCAUGUAGCCCCUCUCACCUCCUGGUUUGACACAUCAGGACU
Portunus trituberculatus (swimming crab) is the source of this 1499-nucleotide long non-coding RNA. RefSeq lists it as uncharacterized. Lineage: Eukaryota; Metazoa; Arthropoda; Malacostraca; Decapoda; Portunidae. The record is from RefSeq and is a predicted model, not a curated record. The transcript has 3 exons.